RNAcentral lists this ribosomal RNA (253 nucleotides) under uncultured bacterium. RNAcentral describes it as "partial 16S ribosomal RNA". It matches the Rfam family "Bacterial small subunit ribosomal RNA", at positions 524 to 776 of the family's 1533-position model. The record is from RNAcentral.
UACGUAGGCAGCAAGCGUUGUUCGGAGUUACUGGGCGUAAAGCGUGCGCAGGCGGUUUGUUAAGUCCGCUGUGAAAUCCCCGAGCUCAACUUGGGAAUUGCAGUGGAUACUGGCAAGCUGGAGUAUGGUAGAGGAAGGUGGAAUUCCCGGUGUAGCAGUGAAAUUCGUAGAUAUUGGGAAGAACACCGGUGGCGAAGGCGGCGCUCUGGACCGAGACUGACGCUGAGGCGCGAAAGCGUGGGGAGCAAACAGG